CCUACGGGGCGCAGCAGUGGGGAAUAUUGGACAAUGGGCGAAAGCCUGAUCCAGCCAUGCCGCGUGUGUGAAGAAGGCCUUCGGGUUGUAAAGCACUUUCAGUGGGGAAGAAAGCCUUGGGGCUAAUACCCUCGAGGAAGGACAUCACCCACAGAAGAAGCACCGGCUAACUCCGUGCCAGCAGCCGCGGUAAUACGGAGGGUGUGAGCGUUAAUCGGAAUUACUGGGCGUAAAGCGCGCGUAGGCGGUCUGAUAAGCCGGUUGUGAAAGCCCCGGGCUCAACCUGGGAACGGCAUCCGGAACUGUCAGGCUAGAGUGCAGGAGAGGAAGGUAGAAUUCCCGGUGUAGCGGUGAAAUGCGUAGAGAUCGGGAGGAAUACCAGUGGCGAAGGCGGCCUUCUGGACUGACACUGACGCUGAGGUGCGAAAGCGUGGGUAGCAAACAGGAUUAGAUACCCCAGUAGUC
Molecule: ribosomal RNA, 465 nt
Filed under: Vreelandella stevensii
Lineage: Bacteria; Pseudomonadati; Pseudomonadota; Gammaproteobacteria; Oceanospirillales; Halomonadaceae
Description: partial 16S ribosomal RNA
Rfam family: Bacterial small subunit ribosomal RNA
Source: RNAcentral